This is a long non-coding RNA of Lactuca sativa (garden lettuce), 1442 nucleotides long. RefSeq lists it as uncharacterized. The record is from RefSeq and is a predicted model, not a curated record. NCBI's taxonomy places the organism in Eukaryota, Viridiplantae, Streptophyta, Magnoliopsida, Asterales, Asteraceae.
AUGUAAAAGUGGGGCCGUAACAUUCACCCUUGAAGCGUGCGUUCGAGUUGUUUGAAUUCAAAUUCUUUUGAGUACUUGUCAUGUGAAACCGUAAAUACACCAUUGUUGAACUUUAAAAUACUCUCGGGACCGUUUCGUAACAAAUAUAAACUAUUGGGGGUUGUUUGGUAAUAUAAUUAACCAAAAUUGGACAGAUUUAGUUAAAGCAAUUCAAGGGAGUGACUGGAAUGGUUUAAUCUUUGAGUCUUGGAUUGGUAUUGUUAAGAAAUCUCCAUGGGAGGGGAUGUUUUAAAUAAAACACACCAAAGUUUGUGGAAUGUACUCAUUUAAGUGAGGGUGUAUUUUGCUCAUUUUAUAAAUACAAAACGAUUUUAGGGCUUUUAUAAAAGGAAAUGUCAUGGAGGGACUGUUUUUGUUUAGAAGACUAAACUAAGGAAAAUUAGGGCUUUUAAACCUUUUUUUUUGAUCGGGUAAGGAGAAGAACGCUACGAACGAAAGCAAGCGAUGAGGAUGGUGAUGGCGAUGGCGACUGAAAGGUUCACGAGGGGCUCACAGAUGACACAACGAUUCGUCGAUCGAUUGCAAAGUGGUGGCUGUCUCGGGGGUUCGACUUGAGCGAAGCCACGCAGGUGCGAAGAAGCAGCGGGGCUGCGUUCUUGCUUCUCCGUCGAUAGGGUGCGAAGGAAAAAAGGGCAUCUUCGGGGUUGACGAAGCCGAAGGAAAAGAAAGAGGGGAAGCAGCGAGGAUUUAGGUCCGACGAUUUCUCCCUGGCUCGUGCGUCUUGUAGCCGACAGAAGUCAAGGAGGUUACAUCUCCGGAGCUUGGUUCAUCGGAGAGGCGAGAUGUCCGAAAGAAGGUAGAAAAGGGCGAAAGCAUCGUGCUUAGUCAGCGAGGAAAAAGAGAGCAACCGACGCCGACAGGUCUUCAUCUCUGAUUUGGGUCGAUCUCUUCGCUUGAUCAGAAAGGAAAGACGAAGGCAUCAACUAUCAAUAACAGAAAUUUUGAAGAAGAGAAAGAAAAUUUUUUCCUUUUGUGUUCAUGUAUCUUGGUGAAUACGAAGAAGUAGGCAGGAACCAGAAAUAUAUAGGUGUUUGCGUGUUAGAAUUUUUAACAUUGUACAUGUUUUGUUUGAGUGAUUAGUAGGUGGAGUGCUGUAAGGGAAAGAAAACAUAAACGUGUGUUCUUGUUGCUUGACAGGAAGAAGAUGAAAGGACAAUUGUUUUUGAGUUUGGCUGCAGCUUCAAAUUUGAAAGGGAAACGCAUUUUCUUUUCCUUUUGAGUGUCUAAUUGUUUCAAAGUAUUACUUAUAAGUAAUUUUGCUUUAUUUAUUUAUUUAUUUAUUAGUAAUUUGGCUUUAUUUAUUUAUUUGUAUUUGGUAGAUUAAAUAGAUGUAUUUGUGUACCAAUGUUUCUUUUAUUAUAUUUCCCAUGAAUUCAUUUCUA